GAUGAACGCUGGCGGCGUGCUUAACACAUGCAAGUCGAACGAGAAGUGAAGACGGAAACCUUCGGGCGGAAGGCUUUAUUUCGAGUGGCGGACGGGUGAGUAACGCGUGGGUAACCUGCCUCAUACAGGGGGAUAACAGUUGGAAACGACUGUUAAUACCGCAUAAGACCACAGCACCGCAUGGUGCGGGGGUAAAAACUCCGGUGGUAUGAGAUGGACCCGCGUUCGAUUAGCCAGUUGGCGGGGUAACGGCCCACCAAAGCGACGAUCGAUAGCCGAUCUGAGAGGAUGACCGGCCACAUUGGGACUGAGACACGGCCCAAACUCCGACGGGAGGCAGCAGUGGGGAAUAUUGCACAAUGGGGGAAACCCUGAUGCAGCGACGCCGCGUGAGUGAAGAAGUAUUUCGGUAUGUAAAGCUCUAUCAGCAGGGAAGAAAAUGACGGUACCUGAGUAAGAAGCCCCGGCUAACUACGU
This 477-nucleotide ribosomal RNA is filed under the name uncultured bacterium. RNAcentral's name for it is "partial 16S ribosomal RNA". It matches the Rfam family "Bacterial small subunit ribosomal RNA", at positions 28 to 506 of the family's 1533-position model. The record is from RNAcentral.